RNAcentral lists this ribosomal RNA (274 nucleotides) under uncultured bacterium. RNAcentral's name for it is "partial 16S ribosomal RNA". It matches the Rfam family "Bacterial small subunit ribosomal RNA", at positions 523 to 796 of the family's 1533-position model. The record is from RNAcentral.
AUACGGAGGGUGCAAGCGUUAUUCGGAAUCACUGGGCGUAAAGGACGCGUAGGCGGGUUGGCAAGUCAGAUGUGAAAUCCUACAGCUUAACUGUAGAACUGCAUUUGAAACUGCUAACCUAGAGUAUGGGAGGGGGAGAUGGAAUUAGUGGUGUAGGGGUAAAAUCCGUAGAUAUCACUAGGAAUACCGUAAGCGAAGGCGAUCUCCUGGAACAUAACUGACGCUAAGGCGUGAAAGCGUGGGGAGCAAACAGGAUUAGAAACCCUAGUAGUCC